This 270-nucleotide long non-coding RNA is filed under the name Capsella rubella. RNAcentral describes it as "long non-coding RNA (CRUB_LNC003141)". Lineage: Eukaryota; Viridiplantae; Streptophyta; Magnoliopsida; Brassicales; Brassicaceae. The record is from RNAcentral.
AAAAUCGGACAAUUUAGGAUAACGUAGAAAAAAAUCGUGUUUGGUAAAAGUUAUAUAAACUUAAUUUGAACCAAUUCAUAUAGGGGGAAGGAAGAAAUGAACGUAGACAUGUAUGCCUUGGUGAAUCUUGGGUAUGAUCACUUUUGAAUUAUUGAAGAAAAAAAAAAGAAUAAAAGUGUUAGAAAAGAAUAAAUUGGCAUUAUAAUAAAGAAUAAAUUCUAAGUGAAUUUAGUUGUAUAUAGUUUUUGUAACACUUUAAUAUUGUCCGCG